GACGAACGCUGGCGGCGUGCUUAACACAUGCAAGUCGAACGGAAAGGCCCUGCUUUUGUGGGGUGCUCGAGUGGCGAACGGGUGAGUAACACGUGAGUAACCUGCCCUUGACUUUGGGAUAACUUCAGGAAACUGGGGCUAAUACCGGAUAGGAGCUCCUGCUGCAUGGUGGGGGUUGGAAAGUUUCGGCGGUUGGGGAUGGACUCGCGGCUUAUCAGUUUGUUGGUGGGGUAGUGGCUUACCAAGGCUUUGACGGGUAGCCGGCCUGAGAGGGUGACCGGCCACAUUGGGACUGAGAGACGGCCCAGACUCCUACGGGAGGCAGGAGUGGGAAAUAUUGCACAAUGGGCGGGAGCCUGAUGCAGAAACGCCGCGUGCGGGAUGACGGCCUUCGGGUUGUAAACCGCUUUCGCCUGUGACGAAGCGUGAGUGACGGUAAUGGGUAAAGAAGCACCGGCUAACUACGUG
RNAcentral lists this ribosomal RNA (468 nucleotides) under uncultured bacterium. RNAcentral's name for it is "partial 16S ribosomal RNA". It matches the Rfam family "Bacterial small subunit ribosomal RNA", at positions 28 to 507 of the family's 1533-position model. The record is from RNAcentral.